RNAcentral lists this unclassified non-coding RNA (307 nucleotides) under Hevea brasiliensis (rubber tree). Lineage: Eukaryota; Viridiplantae; Streptophyta; Magnoliopsida; Malpighiales; Euphorbiaceae. The record is from RNAcentral.
GCAGCGGAAAGCAGUAAUCCCUUGCCACUCUUUGAAGGAUCACGUAAGUCGUCUUCCUCGAUGAGACUUCCCAGUCACUUGUUUUUUUAUUUUCCUUCCUCUCCCUUUCAGCUUUUGGGCUUUAUGCCACUGCUGGUUGUAGGCAGGGGGAGGUGGAGAGAGUGACGCAUCAUGCCAUGUCCAUGUACCAGCUUUGACUCGUGGAGACGGAAGGCCUAUCUCGGGAAUACAGCCAUGGAGCAUUGGCACACUUACUUUGGUCUAAGUAAUUCCUGAUUUCAGCUUUGUACAGAUACCAGUUGAAAAG